UCUCAAGUGGCUUAGUGGUAAAGAAUCUGCCUGCAAUGCAGGAAAUGCAGGUUUGAUCUCUGGGUCGAGAA
RNAcentral lists this transfer RNA (71 nucleotides) under Bos taurus (domestic cattle). It matches the Rfam family "tRNA". From Rfam's summary of the family: Transfer RNA (tRNA) molecules are approximately 80 nucleotides in length. RNAcentral also lists the same sequence under 4 other names. The record is from Rfam by way of RNAcentral. Lineage: Eukaryota; Metazoa; Chordata; Mammalia; Artiodactyla; Bovidae.